UACGUAGGUGGCGAGCGUUGUCCGGAUUUACUGGGCGUAAAGGGAGCGUAGGCGGACUUUUAAGUGAGAUGUGAAAUACCCGGGCUCAACUUGGGUGCUGCAUUUCAAACUGGGAGUCUAGAGUGCAGGAGAGGAGAAUGGAAUUCCUAGUGUAGCGGUGAAAUGCGUAGAGAUUAGGAAGAACACCAGUGGCGAAGGCGAUUCUCUGGACUGUAACUGACGCUGAGGCUCGAAAGCGUGGGGAGCAAACAGGAUUAGGUACCCGGGUAGU
This 271-nucleotide ribosomal RNA is filed under the name uncultured prokaryote. Its description in RNAcentral is "partial 16S ribosomal RNA". It matches the Rfam family "Bacterial small subunit ribosomal RNA", at positions 524 to 794 of the family's 1533-position model. The record is from RNAcentral.